GAAAUGCGAUAAGUAAUGUGAAUUGCAGAAUUCAGUGAAUCAUCGAAUCUUUGAACGCACAUUGCGCCCAUUAGUAUUCUAGUGGGCAUGCCUGUUCGAGCGUCAUUUCAACCCCUAAGCACAGCUUAUUGUUGGGCCUCUACGUUUCGUAGUGCCUCAAAGACAUUGGCGGAGUGGCAGUAGUCCUCUGAGCGUAGUAAUUCUUUAUCUCGCUUUUGUUAGGUGCUGCCCCCCCGGCCGUAAAACCCCCCAUUUUUUCUGGUUGACCUCGGAUCAGGUAGGAAUACCCGCUGAACUUAAGC
Molecule: unclassified non-coding RNA, 302 nt
Filed under: plant metagenome
Description: partial contains 5.8S ribosomal RNA, internal transcribed spacer 2, and large subunit ribosomal RNA
Rfam family: 5.8S ribosomal RNA (bases 1-105)
Source: RNAcentral